UGGCUCUGUGGACCUUCAGUUUGGUGAUGUUUAAUACCUCUCCUCUCCUACAUUUUCCUUCAGAGCCUCCCAAACACCGAGUGAACCCUGGCAAAUUAUAUCUCAUUAUCAAUGUGGACAUCCCUGGAAAGCAGACUGCCAAAGUGUUGUGAAUGUGGGUAAGAUGAUGUAGAAGAAUUAAAAGUGAGAAGUUUACUUAUAUACAAGUUCAAAGAUGACAUCCUUCCUCUAUUGACUGACUAAACCUUAUCAAGAAGAAUAAAGGGUUGUGCUAAUGGAAAUGGAAGAAAAAGAAUGCUGGAAAUGUUACUGUACUCCUCAGAAGGAAAAGAGACUUCAGAACUUAGGAAUUCAUUACCCCUGGCCCAUACAACUGACAGGAUUUUUAAUCAACCUACAGGGAAAGGAUUCAAUUGAAUAAGGUGAAUCUAUCACAGCUUGACUGAAGAAAAGAGGAUGUAUUCAUACUUAUGCCAAAGUCUGAUACAACACGGGGGGAGAAGGGAAUAAAGAAUCUAAGUAACUUUAGACACUAAGAAGGAGUUGACAAGAAGAAAAAAACCUGUGGUAGAUGAUUAGAGUUCAAAUAUUGUCUACUCUUCACACUUUACUAUUUUACCUCCAGAAAGGGUGCCUUUCUAGACCCAGAUCUCUAGAGACCAAGUCCCCUACCCUCACCCUCAUCCCAUGGAAUUAAUCCACUAAACUCUGUCUUGGGGAAGUACUAUCUUAAUUGGUGGGUGACUGAAUGAAAACUCUACCCUAGUAUAUAUAUUUGGUCCCAGACUAUCAGAAGCCAUUCUGCCAUCUGUUCUGUCAUUCCUCUCAUCCAACUCUACCCAUGCCCCAGGCCUAGUCCCCCAAUUGCUCUGAAAAUCAAAUGUAAUCAAAAUGUAGCUACUA
Long non-coding RNA from Sarcophilus harrisii (Tasmanian devil), 903 nucleotides. RefSeq lists it as uncharacterized. The transcript has 4 exons. The record is from RefSeq and is a predicted model, not a curated record. Lineage: Eukaryota; Metazoa; Chordata; Mammalia; Dasyuromorphia; Dasyuridae.